Molecule: ribosomal RNA, 481 nt
Filed under: uncultured bacterium
Lineage: Bacteria
Description: bacterial SSU rRNA
Rfam family: Bacterial small subunit ribosomal RNA
Source: RNAcentral
CUACGUGCCAGCAGCCGCGGUAAUACGGAGGAUGCGAGCGUUAUCCGGAUUUAUUGGGUUUAAAGGGUGCGUAGGCGGCCUGUUAAGUCAGCGGUGAAAUCUAGGAGCUUAACUCCUAAAUUGCCAUUGAUACUGGCGGGCUUGAGUGUAGAUGAGGUAGGCGGAAUGCGUGGUGUAGCGGUGGAAUGCAUAGAUAUCACGCAGAACUCCGAUUGCGAAGGCAGCUUACUAAGGUACAACUGACGCUGAAGCACGAAAGCGUGGGUAUCAAACAGGAUUAGAUACCCUGGUAGUCCACGCAGUAAACGAUGAUAACUGGGCGUAUGCGAUAUACAGUAUGCUCCUAAGCGAAAGCGUUAAGUUAUCCMCCUGGGGAGUACGCCGGCAACGGUGAAACUCAAAGGAAUUGACGGGGGCCCGCACAAGCGGAGGAACAUGUGGUUUAAUUCGAUGAUACGCGAGGAACCUUACCCGGGCUKAA